RNAcentral lists this ribosomal RNA (494 nucleotides) under uncultured bacterium. RNAcentral's name for it is "partial 16S ribosomal RNA". It matches the Rfam family "Bacterial small subunit ribosomal RNA", at positions 28 to 507 of the family's 1533-position model. The record is from RNAcentral.
GACGAACGCUGGCGGCGUGCUUAACACAUGCAAGUCGAACGGUGAAGCGCCUUCCUUUUUGGUGGGUGUGGAUGAGUGGCGAACGGGUGAGUAACACGUGAGUAACCUGCCCCCUUCUUCUGGAUAACCGCAUGAAAGUGUGGCUAAUACGGGAUAUUCUGGGUCUGUCGCAUGAUGGGUCUGGGAAGGAUAUGUUUUCGUUGGGGGAUGGGUUCGCGGCUUAUCAGGUUGUUGGUGGGGUGAUGGCCUACCAAGGCGGUGAGGGGUAGCCGGCCUGGGAGGGUGGACGGUCACACUGGGACUGAGACACGGCCCAGACUCCUACGGGAGGCAGCAGUGGGGAAUAUUGCACAAUGGGCGCAAGCCUGAUGCAGCGACACCGCGUGAGGGAUGGAGGCCUUCGGGUUGUGAACCUCUUUCGCCAGUGAAGCAGGCCUGCCUCGUUUGUGGGUGGGUUGACGGUAGCUGGAUAAGAAGCGCCGGCUAACUACGUG